RNAcentral lists this ribosomal RNA (253 nucleotides) under uncultured bacterium. RNAcentral's name for it is "partial 16S ribosomal RNA". It matches the Rfam family "Bacterial small subunit ribosomal RNA", at positions 524 to 776 of the family's 1533-position model. The record is from RNAcentral.
UACGAAGGGGGCUAGCGUUGUUCGGAUUUACUGGGCGUAAAGCGCACGUAGGCGGAUCGUUAAGUCGGGGGUGAAAUCCUGGAGCUCAACUCCAGAACUGCCUUCGAUACUGGCGAUCUUGAGUCCGGAAGAGGUGAGUGGAACUCCUAGUGUAGAGGUGGAAUUCGUAGAUAUCAGUCGGAACACCGGUGGCGAAGGCGGCUUCUUGGGCCCUACCUGACGCUGAGGCGCGAAAGCGUGGGGAGCAAACAGG